RNAcentral lists this long non-coding RNA (204 nucleotides) under Mustela putorius furo (domestic ferret). Its description in RNAcentral is "lncRNA (ENSMPUG00000032095.1)". The record is from RNAcentral. Lineage: Eukaryota; Metazoa; Chordata; Mammalia; Carnivora; Mustelidae.
CUCUCACUGAGCCUGGUAGCCACUGACCAACCUCUGAGAAGCCUCAACAUUUUGAACGCAAAAGAAGCACAGGAGAACCUUGUAACACCUGGGAUUGAAAAGAGAAAACAUGUGAGAAAAAGAAGGAAAGAAAGGAUACGGAGGCUAGUAACUUAGUGGUUAAAAAAAAAAAAAUCCUUGGAACUGAAAGAUGCAAAAUCAGAG